GGGGCAGCAGUGGGGAUUUUCCGCAAUGGGCGAAAGCCUGACGGAGCAACGCCGCGUGAGGGAUGAAGGCCUCUGGGCUGUAAACCUCUUUUAUCAAGGAAGAAGAUCUGACGGUACUUGAUGAAUAAGCCACGGCUAAUCCGUGCCAGCAGCCGCGGUAAU
This 162-nucleotide ribosomal RNA is filed under the name uncultured Cyanobacterium sp. Its description in RNAcentral is "partial 16S ribosomal RNA". It matches the Rfam family "Bacterial small subunit ribosomal RNA", at positions 345 to 524 of the family's 1533-position model. The record is from RNAcentral. Lineage: Bacteria; Bacillati; Cyanobacteriota; Cyanophyceae; Chroococcales; Geminocystaceae.